AAUACGGAUGGCCACAUAUCAAACACUUGGAUGAAUGGAUGAGGUGGCAGGCUACCGGACUGUAAUUUUUUGCAGGUGGCCUUGUUGCAGAUGAGCUAAUAACAUAUGAAGAUCCUCCUGGAAAUCUUGAUAAGUGAUAAACAGGUUUUAUAUGACAACAAAACAUGCUGAUCCCAUCCUGGAAUACAAGCUUGCCCAC
Molecule: long non-coding RNA, 199 nt
Filed under: Elaeis guineensis (African oil palm)
Lineage: Eukaryota; Viridiplantae; Streptophyta; Magnoliopsida; Arecales; Arecaceae
Description: long non-coding RNA (EGUI_LNC029715)
Source: RNAcentral